UCACCAUUUUUCACCUGGGAGAGUGCAGACGUUUUUGGGCGAGUUGGAGGAGAUUUUGCGGAUUAUUACGGAGGAAAAGUAUGAGUUGUUGUUUUUAUUAUUGAAAUUUAUUGAAACAAUGCAACCUAGAAAACCUCAACGAAAAGUCAGCGAGCUGCUCCGUCGUUCGCACCGUCAUUUGGGGUGAAAUUACACUUUGGUGAUCCGAAGUACAAGAAGGAAGAAAGAGGAGGAGUUAAGGGAAGAGGAAACGCUAACGUAGGAAAGGA
Molecule: long non-coding RNA, 269 nt
Organism: Culex quinquefasciatus (southern house mosquito)
Lineage: Eukaryota; Metazoa; Arthropoda; Insecta; Diptera; Culicidae
Exons: 3
Source: RefSeq, a predicted model, not a curated record